UACACAUGCGUUUUCAUUAGGUUGU
This 25-nucleotide non-coding RNA is filed under the name Rattus norvegicus (Norway rat). Lineage: Eukaryota; Metazoa; Chordata; Mammalia; Rodentia; Muridae. The record is from RNAcentral.